AGAAUCAACGCUGGCGGCGUGCCUAACACAUGCAAGUCGAACGAGAAAGUGGAGCAAUCCAUGAGUAAAGUGGCGCACGGGUGAGUAACACGUGACUAACCUACCUUUUAGUGGGGGAUAACCUAGGGAAACCUGGGCUAAUACCGCAUAAUACCUACGGGUCAAAGCAGCAAUGCGCUGAAAGAGGGGGUCGCGGUCGAUUAGUUAGUUGGCAGGGUAAUGGCCUACCAAGACUGUGAUCGAUAUCCGGCCUGAGAGGGCGCACGGACACACUGGAACUGAAACACGGUCCAGACUCCUACGGGAGGCAGCAGUGGGGAAUUUUGCGCAAUGGGGGAAACCCUGACGCAGCAACGCCGCGUGGAGGAUGACGGCCUUCGGGUUGUAAACUCCUUUACCAGGGAAGAGCAAGGACGGUACCUGGUGAAUAAGCCCGGCUAACUCCGUGCCAGCGAGCCGC
RNAcentral lists this ribosomal RNA (460 nucleotides) under uncultured bacterium. RNAcentral describes it as "SSU rRNA". It matches the Rfam family "Bacterial small subunit ribosomal RNA", at positions 26 to 518 of the family's 1533-position model. The record is from RNAcentral.